GCAGUGGUAGUUCAGUAGCAGAGUUCUCGCCUUCCACGUGGGAGACCUGGGUUCGAUUCCUGGCCAAUGCA
RNAcentral lists this transfer RNA (71 nucleotides) under Loxodonta africana (African savanna elephant). It matches the Rfam family "tRNA". Rfam says of the family: Transfer RNA (tRNA) molecules are approximately 80 nucleotides in length. Their secondary structure includes four short double-helical elements and three loops (D, anti-codon, and T loops). Lineage: Eukaryota; Metazoa; Chordata; Mammalia; Proboscidea; Elephantidae. The record is from Rfam by way of RNAcentral.